RNAcentral lists this ribosomal RNA (195 nucleotides) under uncultured bacterium. RNAcentral's name for it is "partial 16S ribosomal RNA". It matches the Rfam family "Bacterial small subunit ribosomal RNA", at positions 337 to 524 of the family's 1533-position model. The record is from RNAcentral.
UCCUACGGGAGGCAGCAGUGGGGAAUAUUGCACAAUGGGCGCAAGCCUGAUGCAGCCAUGCCGCGUGUAUGAAGAAGGCCUUCGGGUUGUAAAGUACUUUCAGCGGGGAGGAAGGCGACGGGGUUAAUAACCCUGUCGAUUGACGUUACCCGCAGAAGAAGCACCGGCUAACUCCGUGCCAGCAGCCGCGGUAAU